RNAcentral lists this ribosomal RNA (301 nucleotides) under uncultured bacterium. Its description in RNAcentral is "partial 16S ribosomal RNA". It matches the Rfam family "Bacterial small subunit ribosomal RNA", at positions 509 to 807 of the family's 1533-position model. The record is from RNAcentral.
CAGUCGCCGCGGUAAUACGGAGGGCGCGAGCGUUACCCGGAUUUACUGGGCGUAAAGGGCGUGUAGGCGGCCUGGGGCGUCCCAUGUGAAAGGCCACGGCUCAACCGUGGAGGAGCGUGGGAUACGCUCAGGCUAGAGGGUGGGAGAGGGUGGUGGAAUUCCCGGAGUAGCGGUGAAAUGCGCAGAUACCGGGAGGAACGCCGAUGGCGAAGGCAGCCACCUGGUCCACUUCUGACGCUGAGGCGCGAAAGCGUGGGGAGCAAACCGGAUUAGAUACCCCUGUAGUCCCUGUCUCUUAUAC